RNA transcript from Papilio polytes (common Mormon), 3265 nucleotides. RefSeq lists it as uncharacterized. The transcript is spliced from 3 exons. The record is from RefSeq and is a predicted model, not a curated record. Lineage: Eukaryota; Metazoa; Arthropoda; Insecta; Lepidoptera; Papilionidae.
GAAACUGUUUUCUUUAUUUUCUCUCUUUUACUCAUGAAUUCACUUUUGAGGCAGAUCUUUUCCAUUAGGCAUUUCCAUUUUCUAUUCCACAAGGCAAACAUUGAAAUUGAUGUCGAUAAUAGUUGGUAUUUCAUUUGAAAUUGCAAAUGUUAAGAUUCCUAUUUUUUUUAUCUUUGAAAAAAUUAUUUUCGUAACAAGACUUUUAAAAAAACUAUUAAUCUGUUGCUGGCGAAAAUACCUAGUAAUGCAGGGAGUACAAUUAUGAACACAUUGUGUACCUAUGAGUGAAAUGACAAGCUCGAUUGAAUAGUAGCAAUGAUAAGCGGCCGCGGUCGGGCCGCCGCCCUCCGCGCCGGCCCGCCGCGCCAGCCCGCCCGGCCGCGCUCUGCUGCCGACUGCCUCUGCCUAGUGCUUUAUGCCUCCCAUAACUAUAGCUCUAUAGCUACUUCACUUCCGUAAACUUACACAAGGAUGUGUUUUGAAUUUCACAAGUUAACAUAGUUAAAUAAAACUCUAGUGCUUAUCAAUGUUGCCUUACGCUUUACAGCGUUCAUGGCCCUAAAUACACAUGUAAGAUUUUAUAAAAAUAAGAGAGAUUUUGCAGAAAUUGCUAAUAUAUUAGUGCGAACCUACUCUAUUGGCUGUCUGUUUCUUAAUUGCCAGAUGAGAUUCUUAAUGCCUAUUAAAAAUGGCUCUGAGUCUACAAAGAAAUAAGUAAAUAUUUUGCAGUUUACAAAUGUUAACUAAUAAAUAGAAAAUGCAGUACUAAGAAAACUAAACUUAAAUGUUUGAGAUGACAAGUUUUUCAUACAACAUUAAAAAAAUAUAUAAAACCGAGAAUAGCAAUUUUUAACGCACGGGUUACACUAUUUAUUAAUUUUAGUAUUAUUUCUAAUGCCUUGUAUUAAUUUGUUACAUGAUUAAUGUUUUAGAUAUACAUGAAACUAAUCAAAUGCAAACAAGCCUUGUGUAUUUUUUAUCAUUUCCAAAUUAUAUGAAUGAACUCAAGUUCUACCUACCAAGCUUCUGUUUCAUUGUAGUGAAAUACGCUGUUAUUCGUCAAUUAUGCUUUAAUAUGUUUAUUAAAAUAAGUUUUUGUUUUUUUUUUUCAAUUUCGAAGUCACCGAAUUAGACUUUUCGUGGAUAACAACAGUAUCGUUGUCGAACUCGAAAGCUGUGCACUAUGAAAUUUCGCUUUUCGUCUGAGAAUUCCGCGUAGAGGAAAUUAGCGGGAGAAUGUGAGUGGGAAUGAGUCAGGUAUGCGACGUCACCGGCCUGAGUCACGGCGGUGACGUCGGCACCCACUCGCCAUCGCCUGCCUCACAUCACACUGUCGACGAUCUACCGUACAUUAAUUAGGCUGCGACGCCCACGGACCCGCGCGGCCCCAGCGCCUCCGCUUCCGGCGGCCCCCACAGCACGGUGUUGCAAGCGUUUCCUUUCCUGCUGCGGCCGCUACGAGGAUAUUAUUGGAGACUCGGUCUUAAGGCUGCACUGACCCGACCUUACACGAACAGUUCUCAAACCAAUAGAUAAUUUUUGGUGAGGAAGACCGAACACGUUUUGGGCAUCCGUAAUGGCGGCGGCGGCGAGUCUCCGCAUCGCAAAGCCGUCGGGACGUACGGUUCGGCGCUCGCCGCUCGGGACUCGGUCCCACGAUAACGCAUCGAGGGUCGCUCCACAAAAAGCGAUCAUUAUAAAGGACGUAAAGACCGCACCGGCGCCGAGCCUUCCCAGAACUGGGCCCAUUCUUGUUUCGCGCUCCCGCCUUAUUCACGGGGAUUUUUUGUUCGUUUUUGGUUAUAUUUUUUUUUGUUGCGCGAGCGGCGCUCUCGUGAGAGCUUCGAGGAAACGGCUUAUUGGGUUUCGUACAGGAGAUGGGGCUUAUCUCGAGGCGUCGAUCGGCGCGCCGGCCUGGGAACGUUACGCUCGGAGCUCGAAGGACCGUUAGCCGCAUUCCGCCGUCGCCUCGCCGCCUCGCCGCAACACCCCUUGUCGUCACGUCACCGAGACGCGGUCGUGACGCGCUAGACAAACACGAAUAUUGCUCGUUUUACAAACACCAAACGACGAGAAAAAUGUAUGUGAUAUAAAAUAGAAAGGCGCAAAAAGGGAGUACCCAACAUCAGCCCCGGGCCCGGCGCCGCCGCCGACACCCCGUGUCCCUUGAAACAUCACGCCAACUUUACAGUACGUGAACGCUGGUCCGCCGCGGGGCUACAGCACGAGGCCUGAGUCAGCAUGAUGUCAUGCGUGCGGGCCGGCCGCCGGCUAAUGGAGCGUCCCGGCAGUGUCACCUCACGUCCCAUUCCCGCCGCAUACUUCACCCAAUCGAGCGAUGACAAAUCCAUUCAUGUUCUUCUAUUCUAUUGUGCCCUCAUACUCGUUUAGAUGUUCACGGCCGAACACUGAAACGACACUUAAAUGCUUCAGAAUAUUGGCAGCUUCUCUAAUUAGCAUGAACAUGUUUACCACUGUCUCAGUUAAUAUUUUUUAAUAACUUACAACUAUGUAGUAGUAAGCUACUUCUAGAACAACGAAUUGUGGCGACUAACGAAGAGAGAAGAAAGAAGGAUUCACGAAACUGGUUUUCAUAAUGAUUUGACAGAUUGUAUAAAUUCUGAGAUCAUUGUGAAAGCUACGUUUUUGUUCCUGACUCGACACUUGAAGAUAUCUAACUGCGCUUCGAGUCCAGCUACAAAAGGAAACCAACAAUUUGUAAAUAAUAUUUCUGUGAUCGUUCGUGCAAAUAUGUACAUCAUAAAUAUCCAUUUAUUGUUAAAAUAACAUGCAAAUGGAUAUUUUUACAGAAUUUUGCAUAAAAGCGCAUAAACUUGUCUUUGUUUUGUUAUUGUUAUACUUUCAAUUACCUAGAACUAUGGAAAUAUUUUCUUUGCGUGUGUAAGCGUUUUCAUACUGCUUAGUAGACGUACGCUCGAGUUAGGCGCCAGCAUAAAUAUCACCGACGAAGUAAACACACAGGCAUUGGAAAUAAUUCUAAAUGUUUCAUAAUGUGCUAGCGUCCUAUAUAUCUUUUUUGUAUAAAUAGCUAAAUAACCGUCCGCGUCUAAUAAUGGCAACCCACUUUUUUUCUGUCCUCUUUACCUUGUUUCUUUUUCGAUUGUAUUUCGUUUAGAAUAUUCGACCAAAAGCUAUGAGCGAAAUAUUGUACAUAACAAAUUGAAAGCUUGUCAUACUUCAUACUAAUAUUAUAAAUGCGAAAGUUUAGAUGGAUGGAUGUUUGUUAGAGUUGUUGUCUAAACGG